Molecule: ribosomal RNA, 253 nt
Filed under: uncultured bacterium
Lineage: Bacteria
Description: partial 16S ribosomal RNA
Rfam family: Bacterial small subunit ribosomal RNA
Source: RNAcentral
UACGUAGGGUGCAAGCGUUGUCCGGAAUUAUUGGGCGUAAAGAGCUCGUAGGCGGUCUGUCACGUCGGAUGUGAAAAUCCAGGGCUUAACCCUGGACCUGCAUUCGAUACGGGCAGACUAGAGUUCGGUAGGGGAGACUGGAAUUCCUGGUGUAGCGGUGAAAUGCGCAGAUAUCAGGAGGAACACCGGUGGCGAAGGCGGGUCUCUGGGCCGAUACUGACGCUGAGGAGCGAAAGCGUGGGGAGCAAACAGG